Molecule: ribosomal RNA, 253 nt
Filed under: uncultured bacterium
Lineage: Bacteria
Description: partial 16S ribosomal RNA
Rfam family: Bacterial small subunit ribosomal RNA
Source: RNAcentral
UACGUAGGGUGCGAGCGUUGUCCGGAAUUAUUGGGCGUAAAGAGCUCGUAGGCGGUUUGUCGCGUCGGCCGUGAAAACUUGGGGCUUAACCCCAAGCCUGCGGUCGAUACGGGCAGACUUGAGUUCGGCAGGGGAGACUGGAAUUCCUGGUGUAGCGGUGAAAUGCGCAGAUAUCAGGAGGAACACCGGUGGCGAAGGCGGGUCUCUGGGCCGAUACUGACGCUCAUGCACGAAAGCGUGGGGAGCAAACAGG